Ostrea edulis (European flat oyster) is the source of this 1371-nucleotide long non-coding RNA. RefSeq lists it as uncharacterized. The transcript has 3 exons. Lineage: Eukaryota; Metazoa; Mollusca; Bivalvia; Ostreida; Ostreidae. The record is from RefSeq and is a predicted model, not a curated record.
UUCCACGUUUGUAAACAUUUUAUCUUGAUGUUGUGAUUGCAUAAUGUUAAAGAAUGCUGCAUUGAAGAGGCAGAUUCUGAUAUAGUUAGAGGACAUUCUUUGUUCAUGCAUGCAAUUGGAUGACUACGUACAUCCAUUUAUAUUUGUUUUUAAGAACUUAAGAAUGUGACCAACACAUUGAACAGUUGUUGUUUUUUCUAUUCUUUGAGGCGGGUGCAUGAUUAUUUAUUUAUAUUUGAAAUCCUAAGCUCAACAUUUUAACCCAAUCUAUGAAUGAAUGACUUGUUUCAUGAGUGUUGCAUUAGAAAACUGAAUAAAAGUUUUCUUAUAACAGUGUAAGUUCCCUGGGACAGGAUGUGAAUAAAUACAUAAAUCAAGACACUCCAACCAGUUUUAUAAUUACAUUGAAACAAAGCUCAGGCGAGUUGUUAAAACUGGGGAGUCGCAGCGAUUAAAACACCAAACUGUAGGAUGAGCUGUCAAAUUCAAUUACUCACAGGUGGUUGAUAAGCUCAAUAUGCAGAGCAAGUGAGAAGUGGGAGUUUAAAAUUUUUGGAUUAUUCAACUGUUACAUGCAGCUGCUUCUUAAAAAAGAUGUAAGUUUGAAUAUAUUUAUAAUCAUCUUUAAUAUAUUUCAAAUUUACUGUGUAAAUUGUUCCCAUUCUUAUCAUGAUUAUGCUCAAAGGCACUUGAAGUUAAUGUAAAUAUUCAGUACCUCGUGUUAGGUGCCUGUAUUUGGUUGUUGCUCUGCUGGGUUCACUUCAAUACUGUACAUUGUUUGGUACAUUUGUAAUAAAUACUACACUAUACAUCUAUUAUUUUGUACAUGUAUCUAAAGGUCGUUUCAGUUAACUAAUGCAAGGUGAAGAUAACGAACAGUGAUCAAUCUCAUAACUCCUAACAAGCAAUACAAAAUAGAUAGUUGGGCAAACACGGACCCCUGGACACACCAGAGGUGGGAUCAAGUGCCUAGGAGGAGUAAGCAUCCCCUGUUAACCGGUCACACCCGCCGUGAGCCCCAUAUCCUGAUCAGCUUGGAAAACUUGUAUGCAUUGGAGGCGACAAUGUUCAAACAUGUGUUCAGGGAUACUGUCCUUUUUGAUGGCGACAACCUUAGCAUUGCAAUUAAAUUGGAGUGGGAAAGGAACAAAUAGAGGGCUGUCAAAUCUAGAAUGAAGAGACAUAAUAAAGGCUGUCAGGAUAAAAAAAAUCUGAAAGAGCGGCAAAGGCAACAAAAGGACAGUGAGGAAGUGAGCCAGGACCAAAAACUUUUAAAUCAUUAUUUUACAGAAAUGUCUACCAUCAUCUAUUUCAAACCUAUUUUGUAACUUUUGACAAUUUAAUUCAUAUAAAAAAUCAUUUUACAGAGAA